RNAcentral lists this ribosomal RNA (524 nucleotides) under uncultured bacterium. RNAcentral's name for it is "partial 16S ribosomal RNA". It matches the Rfam family "Bacterial small subunit ribosomal RNA", at positions 28 to 523 of the family's 1533-position model. The record is from RNAcentral.
GACGAACGCUGGCGGCGUGCUUAACACAUGCAAGUCGAACGGACAGACAGAGAGCUUGCUCUCUUGAAGUUAGUGGCGAACGGGUGAGUAACGCGUAAUCAACCUGCCCUUCAGAGGGGGAUAACAACGGGAAACCGUUGCUAAUACCGCGUACGAUUCAUGAACGGCAUCGUUUAUGAAUGAAAGGUGGCCUCUAUGUAUAAGCUAUCGCUGAAGGAGGGGAUUGCGUCUGAUUAGCUAGUUGGAGGGGUAACGGCCCACCAAGGCAAUGAUACGUAGCCGGUCUGGGAGGAUGAACGGCCACAUUGGGACUGAGACACGGCCCAAACUCCUACGGGAGGCAGCAGUGGGGAAUCUUCCGCAAUGGACGAAAGUCUGACGGAGCAACGCCGCGUGAGUGAUGAAGGUCUUCGGAUUGUAAAGCUCUGUUAAUCGGGACGAAAGAGUUCUGCGUGAAUAAUGCAGAAAAGUGACGGUACCGGAAUAGAAAGCCACGGCUAACUACGUGCCAGCCGCCGCCGUAA